Pelobates cultripes (western spadefoot toad) is the source of this 224-nucleotide non-coding RNA. The record is from the annotation of a GenBank genome assembly. NCBI's taxonomy places the organism in Eukaryota, Metazoa, Chordata, Amphibia, Anura, Pelobatidae.
GCUGCAGGCCCAUGCCCAUGGAAUAGGCCCAUUGAUAAAAAAAAAAAAGAAAAACAGUUAUUUAUUUUUUUUAAAACACACUUCUCUUAGGUUUGCCACCUAGCCGGUAUUUCUCCGGUAUUUGAGGCUGCCGGUAUUGCAGUAAUACCGGUGUGACGACAGCAACCUCACCACAUUGCAUUGGAGAAGCCUGGUUGCUCGCCUGCUGCCUUUGGAUUAUGGCC